AAAAAAUAUAUGAUGAGGAUCCUGUACAAGCUGUGGGUACUCCAUAUUGUACGGAAAACUCUGUUAAUGGAGCUAGUUCAACAGAAUGGACGCUUCUCAGCUUACAGCAGCAGCACAUUUCAACUGCAUUAAGAUAUUAAUAACUUUAUAAUUCGAAAACUAUUUUUUAAUUUUACUGUGAUGUCUUUGCACUUCAAAGGAGCUUAUGACGGAGGCGUUCGUGGAGCCGAGGGGCUGCGUCACUACUAAAGACUUCUGUAUAUGCAGUUUUGUUUAUAAUAUUUUGCUGAUUUUUGAAAACGAGUUUAUUGUUGUAUUGUUAUUUCCUUUGUAUGUUAUGUGAACCAUGUACAUGAUUUAUGUUAAAUAUUGAAAUAAAGACUGAAUCUUAAAAAUGU
Long non-coding RNA from Ceratitis capitata (Mediterranean fruit fly), 398 nucleotides. RefSeq lists it as uncharacterized. The transcript has 2 exons. The record is from RefSeq and is a predicted model, not a curated record. Lineage: Eukaryota; Metazoa; Arthropoda; Insecta; Diptera; Tephritidae.